AUUGAACGCUGGCGGCAGGCCUAACACAUGCAAGUCGAACGAGUGGCAGACGGGUGAGUAAUGUCUGGGAAACUGCCUGGUGGAGGGGGAUAACUACUGGAAACGGUAGCUAAUACCGCAUACCAUCAGAUGUGCCCAGAUCGGAUUAGCUAGUUGGUGGGGUAACGGCGCACCAAGGCGACGAUCCAUAGCUGGUCUGAGAGGAUGACCAUCAACACUGGAACUGAGACACGGUCCAGAAUCCUACGGGAGGCAGCAGUGGGGAAUAUUGCACGAGGGGCGCAAGCCUGAUGCAGCCAUGCCGCGUGUAUGAAGAAGGCCUUCGGGUUGUAAAGUACUUUCAGCGGGGAGGCGUUACCCGCAGAAGAAGCACCGGCUAACUCCGUGUCAGCAGCCGCGGUAAUUC
This 406-nucleotide ribosomal RNA is filed under the name uncultured bacterium. Its description in RNAcentral is "partial 16S ribosomal RNA". It matches the Rfam family "Bacterial small subunit ribosomal RNA", at positions 30 to 526 of the family's 1533-position model. The record is from RNAcentral.